UAUCAAUGAUCCAGAGAGUUCCUGGCCCGCAGCUGGCACACAGUCCACGUUACUGUCAGACAGUGGGGAGAAAAGAGUUUCGUCAUUCUCCUGGUGGGCCGUUCUCACUGCAAUGUUGCUCUUGUUCCACAAGAACACAUCAUCCACUCCCUGGAAGAUGCAACUCCUACGGAAACUGAGUCCAAUGAUCAAAGGCACUGGCAUUCAGAGGGGACCCACUGAUAAUUGCCGACUACACAGGAGCUGUCUUCCAUAACUCCUCAGAGAGCACGUCGGCCCUACAAAUGCAAAUCCAACAUUCAGCCACGACCUCCCAUGUGCCAAGUGUCAUGGGAUUCAUGCUUUCAAACCAUCGGUUCCAGUUAAGACUCAUAUAAGGAAACAGAUGGGUUCACAUGAUUUUAGUUUAUAUGGGAAGACGCUUUAGACUAAAGCAGAGGGAGGUAAACUUACAGGCAAGCAGGAAGGCUUGAAGGCUUGAGUGUUCUUGGAGGCUCACGGCUGGGUGCAGGCUGACCUUGGGUGAGAGCCCUCGCUCAUUGCCCCGUGACACUGUCCUUCCCGUGGGUUCAAACAGCCUCUUGUUCCUGGUCAAUAUCCUCUGCGCUUCUCUUUGGGGAUUUAGGACACCACGACAUUCUCCUCAUUGUCCAAGGAAACCAUUCUCCUCAUCUAGAAACAUCAUCGAUUUCUGAAGUUAAAUUGAGACCAGAGUGGAUUCUGCACAUCAGUCUCUCCCCUUUCCCUCUGUGACUGUGGACUCUGGGAGGGUUGAAGGGAGGUGGUGCCAACGGCAAAGACAUGCUCUGAUGGGGCGGCUUUUCCACAGGCCUUUCUUAAGCUGUGACUGGGUCUCAGAUCUUUCUUCAGACCUGAGGGAUGUUUAGAGUGGAGGAUGUUUGCAACCAUCGGUCUUCCAUCAUGUUACACUGGAGUUUCGUGGCAGUGACGUGAAUUAAAGAGUAAUAUUUUAGAUUUAAUAUUUUAUUGCUG
RNAcentral lists this long non-coding RNA (993 nucleotides) under Pan troglodytes (chimpanzee). RNAcentral describes it as "long non-coding RNA NONPTRT004170". Lineage: Eukaryota; Metazoa; Chordata; Mammalia; Primates; Hominidae. The record is from RNAcentral.